AUUGAACGCUGGCGGCAGGCCUAACACAUGCAAGUCGAGCGGAUGAAGGGAGCUUGCUCCUGGAUUCAGCGGCGGACGGGUGAGUAAUGCCUAGGAAUCUGCCUGGUAGUGGGGGAUAACGUCCGGAAACGGGCGCUAAUACCGCAUACGUCCUGAGGGAGAAAGUGGGGGAUCUUCGGACCUCACGCUAUCAGAUGAGCCUAGGUCGGAUUAGCUAGUUGGUGGGGUAAAGGCCUACCAAGGCGACGAUCCGUAACUGGUCUGAGAGGAUGAUCAGUCACACUGGAACUGAGACACGGUCCAGACUACUACGGGAGGCAGGAGUAGGGAAUAUUGGAAUAUGGGCGAAAGCCUGAUCCAGCCAUGCCGCGUGUGUGAAGAAGGUCUUCGGAUUGUAAAGCACUUUAAGUUGGGAGGAAGGGCAGUAAGUUAAUACCUUGCUGUUUUGACGUUACCAACAGAAUAAGCACCGGCUAACUUCGUG
Molecule: ribosomal RNA, 484 nt
Filed under: uncultured bacterium
Lineage: Bacteria
Description: partial 16S ribosomal RNA
Rfam family: Bacterial small subunit ribosomal RNA
Source: RNAcentral